AAAAAUAAAAAAUAAAAAAAAAUUUGAAACAUAUGUCAGGAAAAAGAAAGGAAAAUAAGUAGGUAAGCAGCACUCCUGAUUCAACCAUGCAAUACUGUAUACUCUUUAAGAAAUAACAACUAUAAAGUUGAAACAAGAUUGCUAUUUCUAAUCUCUCUGAUGACACUGUUUAUCAAUCAUCAAUUUCAGAAAUACAAUCUGUAUGUAUUACUAACCUCAU
Molecule: unclassified non-coding RNA, 220 nt
Filed under: Hevea brasiliensis (rubber tree)
Lineage: Eukaryota; Viridiplantae; Streptophyta; Magnoliopsida; Malpighiales; Euphorbiaceae
Source: RNAcentral